This is a long non-coding RNA of Symphalangus syndactylus (siamang), 3615 nucleotides long. RefSeq lists it as uncharacterized. The record is from RefSeq and is a predicted model, not a curated record. NCBI's taxonomy places the organism in Eukaryota, Metazoa, Chordata, Mammalia, Primates, Hylobatidae.
GGGCUUGCGCUCCGCGUUUCGGUGCUGGUCGCGCUCUGGCUGGGCACGAACGUAGAGGUCAGGCUAGGGCUAACGAUGCUAGCUAAGCCGGGGCGCACGUCUGGGAAGUCGUCGUCGUAGUCACCGAUGUCCAUGACCUUCCAGAGGUAAUCCACCCGCCUUGGCCUCCCAAAGCGCUGGGAUUACAGGUGUGAGCCCGGCUGGAAACUGCCACUUUUAAACCAUCAGAUCUCAUUGAGAACUCCCUCACUAUCACGAGAACGGCAUGAGGGAAACCACUCCCAUGAUCUGAUCACCUCCCACCAGGUCCUGCCCUCAACAUGUGGGGAUUACAAUUCAAGAUGAGAUUUGGGUCAGGAAACAGAGCCAAACCAUAUCAACAGCCUCUGGUAACCACUGUUCUACUCAAUACUUCUAUGAGAUAAACUUCUUUGGAUUCCACAUUUGAUCAAGAUCAUGAGGAGGAGCAAGUCUUCUUUUUCAUGCUGUUAAGAAAACACCCAGAGUCACAGCACCAUGAUCUCCUUGUGAAGCAGAACAAGUAAUAUAAAACUGAUCUAAAGAGGCCUCCCCUCUACUCUUAUCUGUCUGGUCGAGUCAUUUGGGGCCAAGUGGGCACCAUUGUGGGAGGGUGGGAGGACUCAUCACUGGGGGCCCAGGCAUCAUUUGCAUGUGGCCUCCUGUGUUAGUCUGUUCUCAUGCUGCAAAUAAAGACAACUUGAGACUGGAUAAUUUAUAAAGGAAAGAGGUUUAAUGGACUCACAGUUCCACAUGGCUAAGGAGGCCUCACAAUCAUGGUGGAAGACGAAGGAAGAGCAAAGGGACAUCUUACAUGGCAGCAGGCAAGAGGGCGUGUGCAGGGGAACUCCCCUUUAUAAAACCGUCAGAUCUCGUGAGACUUAUUCACUAUAACGAGAACAGCAUGAGAAAAACCCACCCCCAUGAUUCAAUUACCUCCCACCGGGUCACUCCCACGUCAUGUGAAGAUUAUUACAACUCAAGGUGAGAUCUGAGUGGGGACACAGAGCCAAAUGAUAUCACCUCCCAUGGGCAGCCUCAUUUCAGGAGCACACCCCAUUGGCAUCAUCCAGGAGGAGGGGGGGCCAUUACUGGCAUCAUGGGACGGCCUGCCAGAUGGGGUGCUGGCAUCAUACCUGGUGAGGAACAGGAAGAGACUGGGGGGAGGUUGGAUCAUCGCUCCUGCAGGAGGAGGAGCAGAGAACAGAGUAGGAGGUGUUCUUCCUUGUUGAGAUGCAGUCUUUGUUCUGUCAGGCUCCGAGCCUGCUCUUCUAUCCAUUUCUGGUAGUAGUCUUUCACAUUCUCUUUGUGUUUCCUUCCACUGCAAUGGUAGGUUCUCACAGAUGGAGAGUCAUGGGUGAGGUAUGUAUUGCAAAGUCACAACAAAACUUAGGCAUGUUGCUCUGUAGCCCGUUGACCGCUCUGUUCCCUGAUUUUGCUUUGUUUUGAUGUGACAUUGAAGCACUGCACAUGCGCAGAGCAGCUAAUAGUUCUCCCCUCUUUGGAUUGUUGGAUGAAAUUAUUUUGAAUUUUAUUUUUUAUUGAUACAUAAUAGAUAUAUGUGCUUUGGGGGUACAUAUGAUAAUUUAAUACAUUUAUAUAACUUGUUAAGAACAAAUCAGUGUAAUUGGGACAGCCACCACCUUAAAUACUUGUCCUUCCUUUUUGCUGGAAACAUUUGUAUUAUUCUCUUAGCUAUUUUGAAAUAUACAAUAGGUUAUUCUAAACUAUAAUCACCCUAGCGAUCUAUGAAACACUACGUCUUAUUUGUUCUGUCGGGUUAAAUGAUUUAAUACCUGCAAUGCUCUUAGCAUUAUGCCUGGCACAUGAUAAAUAAAUAUUAGCUGUCGUUAUUCCGACCCAAAACAAGAACAUUUUUUAUUGUUACAGAAAGAAUAGGACCAUUGAUUAUGUUUCACCAUUUAAGUGGCUAUUAUUUGCGUGCUUUCGACAGUUCUAUCCCAUGUCCUAUACAUUUACGUUCCCCCAGACCUCCCUCCGCUCCAUCAACCUAUUACAACAGGGUGUAAUAAUAUAGACGAACACUAGAGGGCAGCAUGCAAUUGCAAUGAAGAAAAUCGGCACCAGCACACUUGAAAUUCAGACAAGAAGAUAGAAGAGGUCUAGUAUCAAAGGAAAGUGAAAUGUCUUCCUUUAAUAUAGUGUCUUGUAGUAUUCUUCUAUAGGAGGGAAGUAUUAUUACUCUAUCGGAUGAGUAUUCCUACUGGAAGGAUGGCUGCGGCAUUUUUAAAAAUCCUGCCUGUAUGUGCCUGCCAUAGAGAUGUCACAUAACCAUUUCCUCACGUGCUGUUCGCUCCACACCCCAGCUCUCUUGAGAGCACUUAGCUUCUCCCGUGAGCCGGUUCCUCCGAUAGGAGGCAUUUGGAAGCCUACGUUAGUAUAGUGCUGCCUUACAACGCGCUUUAAUGUAAUAUCUAGUCUCUGGGAGGCCCAGGAGUGCUUCAAAUUCUAGGCUUCCCUGAGAUGUCCAGUGCGUUUCUUUUGAGGUGUAUGUGUGCUCACUCGGCGUGAGUUCCUCAGGGGCAGGGAACGUACCCCAUCUUCACCUUUGCGUCCCCAGCAGUUUGCAGUGCUGGGCAUGCCCUGAAGAAGCUGGAUAAUGUCUGUUGGACUAAACUGCUUCAUGAGCUGCAGACAGAACAAGAGGGAAAUUUAUGCUCACUUUAUGCCUGAGCAAUGGGACUCUAAACUGCACCCCAGCCAGUGAAUUUUUUCAUUAUUUUUCUGUAUUAUAAAAACAGUUCAUGCUCAUAAUGGGAAAAUCAUGCAAAAAGAACAUCUAAAAUAUUCAUAAUCCCAUCCAUCCAAUAUUAACCUGGGGAAUACUACAGAUUCUUUUAACCUUAUGUCAGAGUAUAAUAUAUAAAUAUAUGUGUGUGUAUACAUAUAUAUAGUGUUUACAUUUAUGGCAGCAUGGAACACCUAUCUUUUAAAAAUUUUUUUUGAGAUGGUGUCUGUACUCCGUCACCCAGGUUGGAGUGCAGUGGCGUGAUCUGACUUGCUGCAACCUUGGCCUCAUCCUCCCACCUCAGCCUCCUGAGUAGCUGGGACCACAAGCGUGCACCACCAUGCCCAGCUAAUUUUUUGUAUUUUUGGUACAGACAGGGUUUUGCCAUGUUGCCCAGGCUGGUCUUGAACUCCUGAGCUCAGGUGAUCCACCCGCCUUGGACUCCCAAAGUUCUGGGAUUACAGGUGUGAGCCACCGUGCCCAGCCCUACAUCUAUCUUUUUUUCUUUUUUUUAAACUAAUCCCUUUCUUUUGGGAAUUUAAGCUGUUUCUCAAUUUUUGCUUUUCUAAAGAGCAGUCUGGUGAAUAUUCGUGUAGCUAAGUGUAAGCCCACAUUCUUUAUUAGUAUCUUAGGAUAAAUUCCCAGAGGCAGAAUUUCUGGGUGAUGGGUAAUUUACAUUGUCACCAACAGUGACAGUGCCCUUGAUCAGAUGAAGAGUUUUAAUUAAACGUCACACCAGAACUCCAUAAUCUUGUCUCAGUCAUGUCAUCGCUGCUCAAAACAUUUGGUGAACUCUGUUUGGUGAUCCAGGCUAUGACUCAUAUAAGAAAAUAAAUCUUAAUCUCUCA